UUGUAAGCCAUCCAGCAUCCUUGGGUUUAAGGUGAGUCUUUGCAUUCCUAUGGUGCUUGCUAGAGUAUUCGGAAAUGGUUUGAGGACUUACCUUAUUCCUCAGAACCUGAAGGAGAAUUUGAAGAAUAGAUACUUCAGAGAGUU
Molecule: small nucleolar RNA, 144 nt
Filed under: Otolemur garnettii (small-eared galago)
Lineage: Eukaryota; Metazoa; Chordata; Mammalia; Primates; Galagidae
Description: Small nucleolar RNA SNORA9 (ENSOGAG00000029125.1)
Source: RNAcentral